CUCACUUGCGGUCUAUAUGUUAUGAUGUUUAUUCAUAAAGCAAGCCUUGUGGGAUUAGAAAGAGCUUUAUAUUUUUUUAAAAAAAAUUUCUCGGAAAAAUCGCUUUUUAUCAAUGACAGAUUAGUGAUAGCAUAUGCUAGAGAGAAUUUUAAAAUGUUACCUCCUUGUGAAAAAACAUUUUGCCUAAGUAGACAAGGUUAUCUUUGUGCUUCCCUCUGUGAGGAAGGUCACCUCUGACGAGAGUAUCCCCCAAAUACCCCUCCUGGCUGGUAAGGCCCUCUCUGAGUUGUAUAUAAGAGCCCGCUGAAGCUGUCUUCCCGCAAAAGAUAGAGGCUGACCUCUCCAUAGCCUUUUACUCUCAUCAUGGCGAAGGAAGCAGGCAUUCUCGAUUCUGUUUUCACUGGGCCAGUCAGAAUUUGUAAAGUUUUGAUUUUAUCGGCUGGUAGAUUGGAAGGGAAGGAACACACCGGCUUCAAACUCCUAAAGCGGUGUCAUUGUGAUGAUAGCAGGAAACGCAAACAUAGGCUUCCUCAGGAAAGGCCUGUGGAAGAUGGGAAACAGUUCAUCUGAUAUAGAGGAGC
Molecule: non-coding RNA, 581 nt
Organism: Cherax quadricarinatus
Lineage: Eukaryota; Metazoa; Arthropoda; Malacostraca; Decapoda; Parastacidae
Source: RefSeq, a predicted model, not a curated record